Molecule: long non-coding RNA, 511 nt
Filed under: Octopus vulgaris (common octopus)
Lineage: Eukaryota; Metazoa; Mollusca; Cephalopoda; Octopoda; Octopodidae
Source: RNAcentral
UGUUCGUCGCCCUGGCUGUUGUCUGCGACGAGUUCUUUGUGCCCUCACUCAAUGUCAUCAUAGAGCGACUAGACAUUUCCGAGGAUGUAGCAGGGGCCACUUUCAUGGCAGCUGGGGGGAGUGCCCCCGAAUUAUUCACCAGUAUCUUCGGGAUUUUUGUUUCAUACAGCGAUGUUGGAAUCGGAACCAUUACGGGAUCAGCAGUAUUCAACAUACUCUUCGUUAUAGGGAUGUGUGCCUUAUUUAGCAAGGAGGUACUCGCUUUGACCUGGUGGCCUCUCUUUAGAGAUGUCACCUUCUAUAGCAUAGACCUACUUUUAUUAAUCUGGAUUUUCACCGAUGAAGUCAUCUACUGGUGGGAAUCCUUAAUCUUACUCCUUUGUUACUUUGCCUAUGUUAGUUUUAUGAAAUUCAAUGCCUCAAUUGAAAGGGUGGUGAAAUCCAAGCUGUACCGCAGGACGGUUACUCGCGUAAAAAGUACUGACAAUCUCAUCGAGGUAAGAUCCUUUAU